ACGGGUGCGUAACGCGUGGGAAUCUGCCCUCUGGUACGGAAUAACUCAGGGAAACUUGAGCUAAUACCGUAUAAUGACUUCGGUCCAAAGAUUUAUCGCCUGAGGAUGAGCCCGCGUCGGAUUAGCUAGUUGGUGAGGUAAAAGCUCACCAAGGCGACGAUCCGUAGCUGGUCUGAGAGGAUGAUCAGCCACACUGGGACUGAGACACGGCCCAGACUCCUACGGGAGGCAGCAGUGGGGAAUAUUGGACAAUGGGCGAAAGCCUGAUCCAGCAAUGCCGCGUGAGUGAUGAAGGCCUUAGGGUUGUAAAGCUCUUUUACCCGGGAUGAUAAUGACAGUACCGGGAGAAUAAGCCCCGGCUAACUCCGUGCCAGCAGCCGCGGUAAUACGGAGGGGGCUAGCGUUGUUCGGAAUUACUGGGCGUAAAGCGCACGUAGGCGGCUUUGUAAGUUAGAGGUGAAAGCCCGGGGCUCAACUCCGGAAUUGCCUUUAAGACUGCAUCGCUAGAAUUGUGGAGAGGUAAGUGGAAUUCCGAGUGUAGAGGUGAAAUUCGUAGA
This 557-nucleotide ribosomal RNA is filed under the name uncultured bacterium. RNAcentral's name for it is "bacterial SSU rRNA". It matches the Rfam family "Bacterial small subunit ribosomal RNA", at positions 102 to 694 of the family's 1533-position model. The record is from RNAcentral.